Molecule: non-coding RNA, 541 nt
Organism: Pelobates cultripes (western spadefoot toad)
Lineage: Eukaryota; Metazoa; Chordata; Amphibia; Anura; Pelobatidae
Source: the annotation of a GenBank genome assembly
GCUCCAUUUCGUUUGACGAGUAGUUUAGUAGGGAAGCCCCAUUUGUAUAGGAUAUUGGCGUUUCUGAGGGCUGUGGUAAUCGGUGUAAAGGAGCGACGUUUGGUCAUCGUGGCUGCUGACAGAUCGAUAAAUAGUUUGAUAUCUGUGUAUUCUUCUGGUAGGGAUGGAUUGAGUCUUGACGUUUGCAUUAUUUGGUCUUUGACCGUAAAAUAGUGGAGUCUGGUUAUGACGUCCCUUGGUACAGUGAUGGGUAGGUGCCGUGGUUUGGGCAGCCUAUGGGUCCUGUCCAGGCGGAGGUCUGCCUCUGGCAUGGAUGGGACCAGAGCUUUGAACAAUUUUUGUACAUAAUGUGUAAGGUCCUGUGGGUUGAUGUUCUCUGGUAUACCACGGAUCCUUAUAUUAUUUCGCCUGUCCCUAUCUUCAUUAUCUGCUAUUUUUCCUUCCAGAUAUUUAACUUUGUUUUCCAGGGCUGUGUGUGCAUCUGCUAGCUCAUUAUGAGCAGUUAGUAUGCCCUCUGUUUUUUCUUCUAGAUGGGCUGUUC